RNAcentral lists this ribosomal RNA (450 nucleotides) under uncultured bacterium. RNAcentral's name for it is "partial 16S ribosomal RNA". It matches the Rfam family "Bacterial small subunit ribosomal RNA", at positions 354 to 796 of the family's 1533-position model. The record is from RNAcentral.
GUGGGGAAUUUUGGACAAUGGGGGCAACCCUGAUCCAGCCAUGCCGCGUGCGGGAAGAAGGCCUUCGGGUUGUAAACCGCUUUUGUCAGGGAAGAAAUCCUUUGGGUUAAUACCUCGGAGGGAUGACGGUACCUGAAGAAUAAGCACCGGCUAACUCUGUGCCAGCAGCCGCGGUAAGACAGAGGAUGCAAGCGUUAUCCGGAAUGAUUGGGCGUAAAGCGUGCGCAGGCGGUUUUGUAAGAUCGAUGUGAAAUCCCCGGGCUCAACCUGGGAACUGCAUUGGUGACUGCAAGGCUGGAGUGCGGCAGAGGGGGAUGGAAUUCCGCGUGUAGCAGUGAAAUGCGUAGAUAUGCGGAGGAACACCGAUGGCGAAGGCAAUCCCCUGGGCCUGCACUGACGCUCAUGCACGAAAGCGUGGGGAGCAAACAGGAUUAGAAACCCCUGUAGUCC